AAGGGGAGGUUUUUGAGAAGCUCAAGGUGAGGCUUGGGCAUGUUUUCUUUUUCACAAAGACAAGUUGGUGUCACUGUGGCUUUCGCAUUUUGUGGUGUGAGGAGGUCAUGCUGAGGGCUAUUAUUACCCUCUUUUAACCAGAAGAAGAUGAGCUAGGGGACCAGGGCCAACACCCAGAGGAUAGCAGAGCAGAACUAUGAGAAGAAUCUGGUCCUCAAUGACAUUGUGGACCACUAAAUUAGCCAACCCUGGACCUGCCAUUCUUCGGGCUGCCCUCCUUGGAGAGAACCAUAGUGUUAAAGCCAGUUUUUGGUCAAGUCGUUUGUUAUUUACAACCAAAAAUCUAAACAUGAGAAAGCCAGUUCUGAUCAAAAGGCUGCCAGCGGUGCAAGGACACGAAGUGAGAGGAAGAUAGUGAGUCAAUGGGAGGACAAACAGCUUUUCCAGGGUCACACAGCUACUGAUUGAUGGCGGCUGGGAGUCAAAUCCAGGUCUGUCUGUUGCCAAAGCUUAGGAUCUUAACCACAAGACUUUGUUGCCUGGUGCCCUGUCUCUACCCUGUUAGACUGGCCAUAGCUUUUCUCCCUUCCCUCUGCCAACUCAUCCUUGCUCAAUCCUAUGAUGUUUUAUGGUCAUUGCUUCACUCCAUGGUUUCCACAGACUCCUCUAGUGUGCAUUUGUGGGAUUUUUUUUGUUUUUGGUUGUGUUCUUAACCAUUGAUAAAAAUGAGAAAAUUAGAGAUGAUCUUUAAGGUUUUUUCCAACUUGGACUCAGACACUCUGUAUUGUAGUUUAUCUUUUUGCUCACUUAAAAAUUUUCCCAC
Molecule: non-coding RNA, 823 nt
Organism: Sus scrofa (pig)
Lineage: Eukaryota; Metazoa; Chordata; Mammalia; Artiodactyla; Suidae
Source: RefSeq, a predicted model, not a curated record